UGCAGUCGACGGUGAACACGGAGCUUGCUCUGUGGGAUCAGUGGCGAACGGGUGAGUAACACGUGAGCAACCUGCCCCUGACUCUGGGAUAAGCGCUGGAAACGGCGUCUAAUACUGGAUAUGUGACGUGAUCGCAUGGUCUGCGUCUGGAAAGAUUUUUCGGUUGGGGAUGGGCUCGCGGCCUAUCAGCUUGUUGGUGAGGUAAUGGCUCACCAAGGCGUCGACGGGUAGCCGGCCUGAGAGGGUGACCGGCCACACUGGGACUGAGACACGGCCCAGACUCCUACGGGAGGCAGCAGUGGGGAAUAUUGCACAAUGGGCGCAAGCCUGAUGCAGCAACGCCGCGUGAGGGAUGACGGCCUUCGGGUUGUAAACCUCUUUUAGCAGGGAAGAAGCGAAAGUGACGGUACCUGCAGAAAAAGCGCCGGCUAACUACGUGCCAGCAGCCGCGGUAAUACGUAGGGCGCAAGCGUUAUCCGGAAUUAUUGGGCGUAAAGAGCUCGUAGGCGGUUUGUCGCGUCUGCUGUGAAAUCCCGAGGCUCAACCUCGGGCCUGCAGUGGGUACGGGCAGACUAGAGUGCGGUAGGGGAGAUUGGAAUUCCUGGUGUAGCGGUGGAAUGCGCAGAUAUCAGGAGGAACACCGAUGGCGAAGGCAGAUCUCUGGGCCGUAACUGACGCUGAGGAGCGAAAGGGUGGGGAGCAAACAGGCUUAGAUACCCUGGUAGUCCACCCCGUAAACGUUGGGAACUAGUUGUGGGGUCCAUUCCACGGAUUCCGUGACGCAGCUAACGCAUUAA
Molecule: ribosomal RNA, 797 nt
Filed under: Microbacterium sp.
Lineage: Bacteria; Bacillati; Actinomycetota; Actinomycetes; Micrococcales; Microbacteriaceae
Description: bacterial SSU rRNA
Rfam family: Bacterial small subunit ribosomal RNA
Source: RNAcentral